CGGAAUUACUGGGCGUAAAGCGCGCGUAGGCGGCUUUGUAAGUUAGAGGUGAAAGCCCGGGGCUCAACCCCGGAACUGCCUUUAAGACUGCAUCGCUUGAAUCCGGGAGAGGUGAGUGGAAUUCCGAGUGUAGAGGUGAAAUUCGUAGAUAUUCGGAAGAACACCAGUGGCGAAGGCGGCUCACUGGACCGGUAUUGACGCUGAGGUGCGAAAGCGUGGGGAGCGAACAGG
RNAcentral lists this ribosomal RNA (231 nucleotides) under uncultured bacterium. Its description in RNAcentral is "partial 16S ribosomal RNA". It matches the Rfam family "Bacterial small subunit ribosomal RNA", at positions 546 to 776 of the family's 1533-position model. The record is from RNAcentral.